RNAcentral lists this long non-coding RNA (388 nucleotides) under Brassica napus (rape). RNAcentral describes it as "long non-coding RNA (BNAP_LNC007894)". Lineage: Eukaryota; Viridiplantae; Streptophyta; Magnoliopsida; Brassicales; Brassicaceae. The record is from RNAcentral.
GUCAACAAUUGAUUUGAUUAUCACUUAGGUGUAUUGGAUUGCAUCUAUUUCUCCGAAUUCAAAUAUAAUAUUUAAUUCUAAUAUAGUUAAUUUUGAUUAAAUUCUUAUUUGCAUUUAGAUUGGUUAUUUUCUUAGAUAUGUAAAUAUAUCUUAUAAAAAUAUGUAUAAUAUCAUAUAUAUUGUGCUUAAAAUUAUAUUAAAAAUAAACUGAAGUGUUGGAUUCAAAAUUACAUAAAUUGAUAUAACGAUAACAUUCUGAAGUCUUAUGCAUAUAUAUAAAACUAUAUUGUAACAAGUAGUUGAUAUUUUUUCUUAUUUAUUAAUAUGUUUUGAGUCAUCCUGUAAUUUAUAUGUAUAAAAAUAAAUAGAUUCUUAUUAUAAAAUUAUA